RNAcentral lists this ribosomal RNA (499 nucleotides) under uncultured bacterium. Its description in RNAcentral is "partial 16S ribosomal RNA". It matches the Rfam family "Bacterial small subunit ribosomal RNA", at positions 28 to 507 of the family's 1533-position model. The record is from RNAcentral.
GAUGAACGCUGGCGGCGUGCCUAAUACAUGCAAGUCGAGCGAACAGACGAGAGUGCUUGCACUCUCUGACGUUAGCGGCGGACGGGUGAGUAACACGUGGGUAACCUACCUAUAAGACUGGGAUAACUUCGGGAAACCGGAGCUAAUACCGGAUAAUAUUUAGCUUCGCAUGAAGCAAUAGUGAAAGACGGUUCUGCUGUCACUUAUAGAUGGACCCGCGGUGUAUUAGCUGGUUGGUGAGGUAACGGCUCACCAAGGCAACGAUACAUAGCCGACCUGAGAGGGUGAUCGGCCACACGGGGACGGAGACACGGCCCAGACUCCUACGGGAGGCAGCAGUAGGGAAUCUGCCGCAACGGACGAAAGUAUGACGGAGCAAUGCCGCGUGAGUGAAGAAGGUUUUCGGAUCGUAAAACUCUGUUGUAAGGGAAGAACAAGUACGUUAGUAACUGAACGUACCUUGACGGUACCUUACCAGAAAGCCACGGCUAACUACGUG